RNAcentral lists this ribosomal RNA (497 nucleotides) under uncultured bacterium. RNAcentral's name for it is "partial 16S ribosomal RNA". It matches the Rfam family "Bacterial small subunit ribosomal RNA", at positions 28 to 507 of the family's 1533-position model. The record is from RNAcentral.
GAUGAACGCUGGCGGCGUGCCUAAUACAUGCAAGUCGAGCGAACGGACGAGAAGCUUGCUUCUCUGAUGUUAGCGGCGGACGGGUGAGUAACACGUGGAUAACCUACCUAUAAGACUGGGAUAACUUCGGGAAACCGGAGCUAAUACCGGAUAAUAUUUUGAACCGCAUGGUUCAAAAGUGAAAGACGGUCUUGCUGUCACUUAUAGAUGGAUCCGCGCUGCAUUAGCUAGUUGGUAAGGUAACGGCUUACCAAGGCAACGAUGCAUAGCCGACCUGAGAGGGUGAUCGGCCAGACUGGAACUGAGACACGGUCCAGACUCCUACGGGAGGCAGCAGUAGGGAAUCUUCCGCAAUGGGCGAAAGCCUGACGGAGCAACGCCGCGUGAGUGAUGAAGGUCUUCGGAUCGUAAAACUCUGUUAUUGGGGAAGAACAUAUGUGUAAGUAACUGUGCACAUCUUGACGGUACCUAAGCAGAAAGCCACGGCUAACUACGUG